AACAGGAUUAGAUACCCUGGUAGUCCACGCUGUAAACGGUGGGUACUAGGUGUGGGGUCCAUUCCACGGGUUCCGUGCCGUAGCUAACGCUUUAAGUACCCCGCCUGGGGAGUACGGCCGCAAGGCUAAAACUCAAAGGAAUUGACGGGGCCCCGCACAAGCGGCGGAGCAUGCGGAUUAAUUCGAUGCAACGCGUAGAACCUUACCUGGGUUUGACAUGGAUCGGGAGCGCUCAGAGAUGGGUGUGCCUCUUUUGGGGUCGGUUCACAGGUGGUGCAUGGCUGUCGUCAGCUCGUGUCGUGAGAUGUUGGGUUAAGUCCCGCAACGAGCGCAACCCUUGUUCACUGUUGCCAGCACGUUAUGGUGGGGACUCAGUGGAGACCGCCGGGGUCAACUCGGAGGAAGGUGGGGAUGACGUCAAGUCAUCAUGCCCCUUAUGUCCAGGGCUUCACGCAUGCUACAAUGGCUGGUACAGAGAGUGGCGAGCCUGUGAGGGUGAGCGAAUCUCGGAAAGCCGGUCUCAGUUCGGAUUGGGGUCUGCAACUCGACCUCAUGAAGUCGGAGUCGCUAGUAAUCGCAGAUCAGCAACGCUGCGGCGAAUACGUUCCCGGGGCUUGUACACACCGCCCGUCAAGUCAUGAAAGUUGGUAACACCCGAAGCCGGUGGCCUAACCGUUGUGGGGGAGCCGUCGAAGGUGGGACUGGUGAUUAGGACUAAGUCGUAACAAGGUAACC
RNAcentral lists this ribosomal RNA (735 nucleotides) under uncultured bacterium. RNAcentral's name for it is "bacterial SSU rRNA". It matches the Rfam family "Bacterial small subunit ribosomal RNA", at positions 771 to 1501 of the family's 1533-position model. The record is from RNAcentral.